AAGUCGUAACAAGGUCUCCGUUGGUGAACCAGCGGAGGGAUCAUUACAGAGUUGCAAAACUCCCAACCCUUUGUGAACGAACCUACCAGUUGCUUCGGCGGCAGACCCCUCUGGGGCCUAGCCUUUACGGGUACCCCGCCGGAGUCCUACAAACUCUUGAUUUUUUGGCAUCUCUGAGUAGCUUAUAAAUAAGUUAAAACUUUCAACAACGGAUCUCUUGGUUCUGGCAUCGAUGAAGAACGCAGCGAAAUGCGAUAAGUAAUGUGAAUUGCAGAAUUCAGUGAAUCAUCGAAUCUUUGAACGCACAUUGCGCCCGCUAGUAUUCUGGCGGGCAUGCCUGUUCGAGCGUCAUUUCAACCAUCAAGCCCUAGGCUUGUGUUGGGGCCCUGCGGCCGUCCGCAGCCCCCUAAAAACAGUGGCGGGCUCGCUAUAUACCGAGUGCAGUAGUUUACUCUUCGCUCAGGACAUGUAGUGGGUUCUUGCCGUAAAACCCCCCAUUUAUCAAGGUUGACCUCGGAUCAGGUAGGAAUACCCGCUGAACUUAA
Molecule: ribosomal RNA, 545 nt
Filed under: uncultured fungus
Lineage: Eukaryota; Fungi
Description: eukaryotic LSU rRNA
Rfam family: 5.8S ribosomal RNA (bases 198-351)
Source: RNAcentral